CCAGCCGGUUGUUUCUGGUGGAUUUCCUUGUGUUGCUCUUCUAUGACAGCCAAGAGUUUUUCCUGUUGGUCAAGAAGUCUCUUCUGUUGCUCUUGCUGCUCCUUGAUCACCUGCAGUAGCACGGCGUGGUCCAGCUGGCCCUCUACAGGACAGAAAUGUGGAAUU
This is a long non-coding RNA of Etheostoma spectabile (orangethroat darter), 165 nucleotides long. RefSeq lists it as uncharacterized. The transcript is spliced from 3 exons. Lineage: Eukaryota; Metazoa; Chordata; Actinopteri; Perciformes; Percidae. The record is from RefSeq and is a predicted model, not a curated record.